Molecule: ribosomal RNA, 274 nt
Filed under: uncultured bacterium
Lineage: Bacteria
Description: partial 16S ribosomal RNA
Rfam family: Bacterial small subunit ribosomal RNA
Source: RNAcentral
ACACGGGGGGAGCAAGCGUUGUUCGGAAUCAUUGGGCGUAAAGAGCUCGUAGGCGGUUCCGUAAGUCAGAGGUGAAAUACAAUGGCUCAACCAUUGAAACGCCUUUGAAACUACAGAACUUGAGAUCGGGAGAGGAAAGCGGAAUUCCAGGUGUAGCGGUGAAAUGCGUAGAUAUCUGGAGGAACACCGGUGGCGAAGGCGGCUUUCUGGACCGAUACUGACGCUGAGGAGCGAAAGCUAGGGGAGCAAACGGGAUUAGAAACCCCAGUAGUCC